GCAGAAGGCCGCACUCAGAGUUUCUGCACUCCUUUGUUGCUGGGGUCCGUUGCGUUCUGCAUCCAGUCUUUGCUGCUCCGAGAGGCCCCAGGUGCCUCCGCCACGGCUUCUGUGACGCUGUCACCUGCGCUGUGACCUGCUCCGGAGUCAUAAAGAGGACGCCGGGACACCAAGAAGCAGGGAAAUGGACCCAGUGGCCUUUGAGGAUGUGGCUGUGAACUUCACCCAGGAGGAGUGGGCCUUGUUGAAUCCUUUCCAGAAGAAUCUCUACAGAGAUGUGAUGCAGGAAACCUUCAGGAACCUCA
RNAcentral lists this long non-coding RNA (305 nucleotides) under Pan troglodytes (chimpanzee). Its description in RNAcentral is "long non-coding RNA NONPTRT007976". The record is from RNAcentral. Lineage: Eukaryota; Metazoa; Chordata; Mammalia; Primates; Hominidae.